ACAAUAUACAAGGUGCUGCAUGGUUGUCGUCAGCUCGUGCCGUGAGGUGUCGGGUUAAGUCCCAUAACGAGCGCAACCCCUAUCAUUAGUUGCCAUCAGGUCAAGCUGGGGACGUCUAAUGAAACUGCCUACGCAAGUAGUGAGGAAGGUGGGGAGUGACGUCAAGUCAGCAUGGCCUUUAUAUCUUGGGCUACACACACGCUACAAUGGUCUGUACAAUAGGUUGCCAAGCCGCGAGGCGGAGCCAAUCCUUAAAGCAGGCCUCAGUUCAGAUUGCAGGCUGCAACCCGCCUGCAUGAAGAUGGAGUUGCUAGUAACCGCAGGUCAGCUAUACUGCGGUGAAUACGUUCCCGGGUCUU
This 359-nucleotide ribosomal RNA is filed under the name uncultured Anaerolineaceae bacterium. RNAcentral's name for it is "bacterial SSU rRNA". It matches the Rfam family "Bacterial small subunit ribosomal RNA", at positions 1026 to 1382 of the family's 1533-position model. The record is from RNAcentral. Lineage: Bacteria; Bacillati; Chloroflexota; Anaerolineae; Anaerolineales; Anaerolineaceae.